UACGUAGGGUGCAAGCGUUGUCCGGAAUUAUUGGGCGUAAAGAGCUCGUAGGCGGUUUGUUGCGUCGGCUGUGAAAUCCCGAGGCUCAACCUCGGGUCUGCAGUCGAUACGAGCAAACUAGAGUGUUGCAGGGGAGACUGGAAUUCCUGGUGUAGCGGUGAAAUGCGCAGACAUCAGGAGGAACACCGAUGGCGAAGGCAGUUCUCUGGGCCGUAACUGACGCUGAGGAGCGAAAGCGUGGGGAGCGAACAGG
This 253-nucleotide ribosomal RNA is filed under the name uncultured bacterium. RNAcentral's name for it is "partial 16S ribosomal RNA". It matches the Rfam family "Bacterial small subunit ribosomal RNA", at positions 524 to 776 of the family's 1533-position model. The record is from RNAcentral.